ACGGCCCAGACUCCUACGGGAGGCAGCAGUAGGGAAUCUUCCGCAAUGGACGAAAGUCUGACGGAGCAACGCCGCGUGAGUGAUGAAGGUUUUCGGAUCGUAAAGCUCUGUUGUUAGGGAAGAACAAGUACCGUUCGAAUAGGGCGGUACCUUGACGGUACCUAACCAGAAAGCCACGGCUAACUACGUGCCAGCAGCCGCGGUAAUACGUAGGUGGCAAGCGUUGUCCGGAAUUAUUGGGCGUAAAGGGCUCGCAGGCGGUUCCUUAAGUCUGAUGUGAAAGCCCCCGGCUCAACCGGGGAGGGUCAUUGGAAACUGGGGAACUUGAGUGCAGAAGAGGAGAGUGGAAUUCCACGUGUAGCGGUGAAAUGCGUAGAGAUGUGGAGGAACACCAGUGGCGAAGGCGACUCUCUGGUCUGUAACUGACGCUGAGGAGCGAAAGCGUGGGGAGCGAACAGGAUUAGAUACCCUGGUAGUCCACGCCGUAAACGAUGAGUGCUAAGUGUUAGGGGGUUUCCGCCCCUUAGUGCUGCAGCUAACGCAUUAAGCACUCCGCCUGGGGAGUACGGUCGCAAGACUGAAACUCAAAGGAAUUGACGGGGGCCCGCACAAGCGGUGGAGCAUGUGGUUUAAUUCGAAGCAACGCGAAGAACCUUACCAGGUCUUGACAUCCUCUGACAAUCCUAGAGAUAGGACGUCCCCUUCGGGGGCAGAGUGACAGGUGGUGCAUGGUUGUCGUCAGCUCGUGUCGUGAGAUGUUGGGUUAAGUCCCGCAACGAGCGCAACCCUUGAUCUUAGUUGCCAGCAUUCAGUUGGGCACUCUAAGGUGACUGCCGGUGACAAACCGGAGGAAGGUGGGGAUGACGUCAAAUCAUCAUGCCCCUUAUGACCUGGGCUACACACGUGCUACAAUGGACAG
RNAcentral lists this ribosomal RNA (919 nucleotides) under Bacillus subtilis. RNAcentral describes it as "bacterial SSU rRNA". It matches the Rfam family "Bacterial small subunit ribosomal RNA", at positions 326 to 1237 of the family's 1533-position model. The record is from RNAcentral. Lineage: Bacteria; Bacillati; Bacillota; Bacilli; Caryophanales; Bacillaceae.